GCGAUAGCCUCAGUAACGGCGAGUGAAGCGGCUACAGCUCAAAUUUGAAAUCUGGCCUCCUUUGGGGGUCCGAGUUGUAAUUUGCAGAGGAUGCUUUGGCAUUGGCGGCGGUCUAAGUUCCUUGGAACAGGACAUCGCAGAGGGUGAGAAUCCCGUACGUGGGCGCCUGCCUUUGCCGUGUAAAGCUCCUUCGACGAGUCGAGUUGUUUGGGAAUGCAGCUCUAAAUGGGAGGUAAAUUUCUCCUAAAGCUAAAUACCGGCCAGAGACCGAUAGCGCACAAGUAGAGUGAUCGAAAGAUGAAAAGUACUUUGGAAAGAGAGUCAAAUAGCACGUGAAAUUGUUGAAAGGGAAGCGCUUGCAGCCAGACUUGCCCGCAGUUGCUCACCUAGGCUUUCGCCUGGGGCACUCUUCUGCGGGCAGGCCAGCAUCAGUUUGGGCGGUCGGAUAAAGGCCUCUGUCAUGUACCACCCCUCGGGGUGGCCUUAUAGGGGAGGCGUAAUGCGACCAGCCCGGACUGAGGUCCGCGCAUCUGCUAGGAUGCUGGCGUAAUGGCUGUAAGCGGCCCGUCUUGAAACACGGACCAAGGAGUCUAACAUCUAUGCGAGUGUUUGGGUGUCAAGCCCGGGCGCGCAAUGAAAGUGAACGGAGGUGGGAACCCUUCGGGGUGCACCAUCGACCGAUCCUGAAGUCUUCGGAUGGAUUUGAGUAAGAGCAUAGCUGUUGGGACCCGAAAGAUGGUGAACUAUGCUUGAAUAGGGUGAAGCCAGAGGAAACUCUGGUGGAGGCUCGCAGCGGUUCUGACGUGCAAAUCGAUCGUCAAAUUUGGGCAUAGGGGCGAAAGACUAAUCGAACCAUCUAGU
RNAcentral lists this ribosomal RNA (861 nucleotides) under Pseudopithomyces pandanicola. Its description in RNAcentral is "partial 28S large subunit ribosomal RNA". It matches the Rfam family "Eukaryotic large subunit ribosomal RNA", at positions 71 to 948 of the family's 3401-position model. Lineage: Eukaryota; Fungi; Ascomycota; Dothideomycetes; Pleosporales; Didymosphaeriaceae. The record is from RNAcentral.